MicroRNA precursor from Oryza sativa Japonica Group (Japanese rice), 186 nucleotides. It matches the Rfam family "MIR812 microRNA precursor family". The record is from Rfam. Lineage: Eukaryota; Viridiplantae; Streptophyta; Magnoliopsida; Poales; Poaceae.
AGCAUGUGAACACUGGGUUUCCGUAUUCAAUUUUGACUGUCCGUUAUAAUUUGUAUUUUUAUUAUUAUUAGAUGAUAAAACAUGAUUAAUAUUUUAUACGUGACUUGUCUUUUUAUUAUUUUCAUAAUUUUUUCAAAUAAGACGGACGGUCAAACGUUGGGCACGGAAAUCAGGGUUUGUCUUUUU